AUUGAACGCUGGCGGCAGGCCUAACACAUGCAAGUCGAGCGGAUGAAGGGAGCUUGCUCCUGGCUUCAGCGGCGGACGGGUGAGUAAUGCCUAGGAAUCUGCCUGGUAGUGGGGGAUAACGUCCGGAAACGGGCGCUAAUACCGCAUACGUCCUGAGGGUGAAAGUGGGGGAUCUUCGGACCUCACGCUAUCAGAUGAGCCUAGGUCGGAUUAGCUAGUUGGUGGGGUAAAGGCCUACCAAGGCGACGAUCCGUAACUGGUCUGAGAGGAUGAUCAGACACACUGGAACUGAGACACGGUCCAGACUCCUACGGGAGGCAGCAGUGGGGAAUAUUGGACAAUGGGCGAAAGCCUGAUCCAGCCAUGCCGCGUGUGUGAAGAAGGUCUUCGGAUUGUAAAGCACUUUAAGUUGGGAGGAAGAGCAGUGAGUUAAUACCUUGCUGUUUUGACGGUACCAACAGAAUAAGCACCGGCUAACUUCGUG
RNAcentral lists this ribosomal RNA (484 nucleotides) under uncultured bacterium. Its description in RNAcentral is "partial 16S ribosomal RNA". It matches the Rfam family "Bacterial small subunit ribosomal RNA", at positions 30 to 507 of the family's 1533-position model. The record is from RNAcentral.